GUGAUGGUGGAUAUUUCAGAGAUUAAAAAAAGCCACCUACAAAACCUGCAUGCAAAAGGGAUUUUUUUUUUUUUAAACUCAUGGUUAAGCUCCUCAGGUAUAUGAGGAGCAAUACCCAAAGAAUUACGUGUGUAUACCACUCCACAACACACCAAUGCAAGGUAAAUAUUGACACAAAUACUUCACAGCUUACUUACAUUCUGAUUCUGAAAACAAAGCUACAAGUCAUCUCAUCUUUAUUAUGUGUUGUAUCUUUCUUAAAAUAUAGACUGCAAAUUGAUGAAGUUCUCAUUUUUAUUACAGAUUUUGAUACAUGGCUUUUUUGUAAUGCUAAGUAUCUAUGGAUUUACAGUCAUACUUAGGCUUAUCAGCAAUACAGAUGCAAUAUCCAUUCCCUUAAAAGUGCAGUAAGCAGAUUCUACUUAAGAGAAUUUAAUACUAAAGCAGUUUCUGUCAUACAUAACAAGACAAAAUUUUCCUUUUAUCUCUCCUAAAAUCUAAAUCUGCAUGAUUUACCAAAAAAAAAAAAAA
Molecule: long non-coding RNA, 531 nt
Filed under: Rattus norvegicus (Norway rat)
Lineage: Eukaryota; Metazoa; Chordata; Mammalia; Rodentia; Muridae
Description: long non-coding RNA NONRATT002723
Source: RNAcentral